Long non-coding RNA from Trichosurus vulpecula (common brushtail), 1087 nucleotides. RefSeq lists it as uncharacterized. Lineage: Eukaryota; Metazoa; Chordata; Mammalia; Diprotodontia; Phalangeridae. The transcript has 3 exons. The record is from RefSeq and is a predicted model, not a curated record.
CUAUUAUAAAAAUAUACAUAAUCAAUGAAACCAAAAACGUAUCCUGUUAUGCGCAUGGAAUCCAUCAUCUCUAUCAGGAGGAAAUGAGACAAUGAAACUCCAGGAUAUGACAGCACAGAAGGAGCAGUCCUACCUUGGCCACUGUGUCCACUGCUGAACACAAAGGGACAUCUCUAAAAUCUUCACGAGAUGGCUAUGUCCCUUUUUCUGUUCUUGAUCCAGCUUCCCCAUCUUCUAUUACUUUGGGUCACAUUCUUCCAGAGUGGGAGACGGGAAGUCAUUUCCAAAUUGUCUGAAAGCACCAUAUGCCCUCUCUUUUCUUGGGAAAAAUAUUUUUAAUUGUGGAGAAGAGAACAAAACUAAUUAAUAAGGAAUUGAUAUUCAAAUUAAAUCAAGAUAAAGUGAGAGCCAUCACCUAAUCUUGAAGAAUUCAAGUCACCAGGCUCGGAUGAUCAUUAUCCUACAAGAUUUUGCAGAAAUGACUGCUAGGUUGCUAGCAAUGAAAUUUGAAAGAUAACGAAGAAUGUGGAAGGUACCACAGGAUUGAAGAAAUACAUAUGUUGUCUCAAUAUUUAAAAGGAAGAAGGGGGAAAAAUCUGCAAACUAUAGUUUGGCAAGCUUGACUGAUUCCUGGCAAAAUGCUACAAAAUAUUAUUAAGGGAUCUAGAAGUUCUAGAAGAAGAAAUGAUCACAAUAAGCCAGUAUGACUUCAUCAAGCACAAGGGACCAUAUCAUUUCUGACAAGGUUAUUAAACUGAAAGAUUAGAGCAAUAUUAUAGUUAUAAUUUCCUACCUCUUAUAAAAGCAUGUGAGAAAGUAACUGAUGCCACUCAUAUAGAAAAGAUGAAGGGAUGUGAAUUAGACAAUAGCAUAGACAAGAGCAUUCAGAAUUGAAUGAAUGGCCAGGUUCAAAGUGUAUAUUAUUUCAGUCUCAAUGGCAUGCCCUACCUCCAGGGAUUUCUGGUUGGCUCUGUGCUAUGUAACAUUUUUUAUCAAUGACUUAGACAAAGACAUAACUGGUAUAUCUGUCCAAUUUAUACGUUUCAUAAAACUGGGGAAAAUAUUGCUUUUGCUCUUUUGGUUGAUC